AGGGCCGUAGUUCAACGGUAGAAUAGAGGUCUCCAAAACCUUUGACGAAGGUUCGAUUCCUUCCGGCCCUGCCA
RNAcentral lists this transfer RNA (74 nucleotides) under Candidatus Cerribacteria bacterium 'Amazon FNV 2010 28 9'. RNAcentral's name for it is "tRNA-Trp". It matches the Rfam family "tRNA". From Rfam's summary of the family: Transfer RNA (tRNA) molecules are approximately 80 nucleotides in length. The record is from RNAcentral. Lineage: Bacteria; Candidatus Cerribacteria.